CGAGUCUAAAUGAUUUGUUUCAUUGCAAGUGGGCAUAGUUGUAUAUGCCUGGGUCCAAGCUACUCAGGAGAGUGAGGCAGGAUGAUCCCUUGAGCACAGUAGUUCAAAGCCAACCUGGGUGAAUCAUCCGCAAACAUCACAGAGGAUACUCACACAAAUGAGGACAAUAGCUCGGGCAAGAUGAUCUUAUGGGACCACUGCCCGAUACACAGCCCAUCACCGACCAGCACAGCCUUAUGCAGGGCAUGACAGUACAAGCAAAAGAAAAAUCAUUAAUAACCCUAUUUCAAAGCAGCAAAAGGUGCUUGCAGUUAUGUUUUAAAGCUGUCACACUUCACAAAGAAUUUGCAGCUGGAAAAGAAUCUUGAACAGACGAGCGAGCUUCAUAAGUGGAAGGAAAGCGGGGAGCAAUCAAGGUCUGGAAUCCUGUUCUGGGCCCACUUACUGGAGCAUCAGUGCACCUCUGGGGCACCACUGCUUGGAAGAACCAGGCAGAACCAUUGGGGGUUUCUUUCUUUACCCUGGGGUAUGGUUGGUAGCGAGAGGUAUCAUCUUUGUCCCUUGCUCCUGGAGGUGGCCUCUAAACUUU
This 589-nucleotide long non-coding RNA is filed under the name Fukomys damarensis (Damara mole-rat). RNAcentral describes it as "lncRNA (ENSFDAG00000029698.1)". The record is from RNAcentral. Lineage: Eukaryota; Metazoa; Chordata; Mammalia; Rodentia; Bathyergidae.